This 478-nucleotide ribosomal RNA is filed under the name uncultured bacterium. RNAcentral describes it as "partial 16S ribosomal RNA". It matches the Rfam family "Bacterial small subunit ribosomal RNA", at positions 28 to 507 of the family's 1533-position model. The record is from RNAcentral.
GAUGAACGCUGGCGGCGUGCUUAACACAUGCAAGUCGAACGGGAAUUAUUUUAUUGAAACUUCGGUCGAUUUAAUUUAAUUCUAGUGGCGGACGGGUGAGUAACGCGUGGGUAACCUGCCUUAUACAGGGGGAUAACGGUCAGAAAUGGCUGCUAAUACCGCAUAAGCGCACAGAGCUGCAUGGCUCAGUGUGAAAAACUCCGGUGGUAUAAGAUGGACCCGCGUUGGAUUAGCUGGUUGGUGGGGUAACGGCCCACCAAGGCGACGAUCCAUAGCCGGCCUGAGAGGGUGAACGGCCACAUUGGGACUGAGACACGGCCCAGACUCCUACGGGAGGCAGCAGUGGGGAAUAUUGCACAAUGGGGGAAACCCUGAUGCAGCGACGCCGCGUGAAGGAAGAAGUAUCUCGGUAUGUAAACUUCUAUCAGCAGGGAAGAUAGUGACGGUACCUGACUAAGAAGCCCCGGCUAACUACGUG